This 70-nucleotide non-coding RNA is filed under the name unclassified sequences. The record is from RNAcentral.
UGGCCGUGGGUGGUGGUAGUGGCAACACCCACAUGGGAUUAAAGAAAGCGUUGGAACACCCACGGCCAUU